This 468-nucleotide ribosomal RNA is filed under the name uncultured bacterium. Its description in RNAcentral is "partial 16S ribosomal RNA". It matches the Rfam family "Bacterial small subunit ribosomal RNA", at positions 28 to 507 of the family's 1533-position model. The record is from RNAcentral.
GACGAACGCUGGCGGCGUGCUUAACACAUGCAAGUCGAACGGAAAGGCCCUGCUUUUGUGGGGUGCUCGAGUGGCGAACGGGUGAGUAACACGUGAGUAACCUGACCUUGACUUUGGGAUAACUUCAGGAAACUGGGGCUAAUACCGGAUAGGAGCUCCUGCUGCAUGGUGGGGGUUGGAACGUUUCGGCGGUUGGGGAUGGACUCGCGGCUUAUCAGCUUGUUGGUGGGGUAGUGGCUUACCAAGGCUUUGACGGGUAGCCGGCCUGAGAGGGUGACCGGCCACAUUGGGACUGAGAUACGGCCCAGACUCCUACGGUAGGCAGCAGUGGGGAAUAUUGCACAAUGGGCGGAAGCCUGAUGCAGCAACGCCGCGUGCGGGAUGACGGCCUUCGGGUUGUAAACCGCUUUCGCCUGUGACGAAGCGUGAGUGACGGUAAUGGGUAAAGAAGCACCGGCUAACUACGUG